UUAAGAAAUACUUUUUUAUUUGUAAUAGUAGUAGUUGCUUUGUGGAGGAAGGUAAAUGAAAGGAUAUUUCAUUCCCUUUCUUAAACCACGCACAUAAGGACAGUAUCAGAAUUAGCCACUGGUACAGAAACAGGGCAGUGUAUAGUUACUUUAUACACAGCUGAACCAAACAACUUGCUUUAAGAGCAGUCAGUGUGGAUCACAGCAGUUAUUCAUUUACAUUAAUCAGCUCUCGUUCUCUGCAAUUGCUGUGGGUGAGGUGGCACUCUACUGCAGUCCCUGUACUUUUAUUCUAUGUUAAAGUUUGGUUUUCCAUCCUCACUGUGUUCCAUUUACAUCAUUCUGGAAUGCGAAGUGGUGCUGGCAUGAAAUUUCUCCUAAGAAACUGGAUUUACUGUGAAGAGUACAAGAUGAUUUGGUCAAGUCCCAGAAGUUUUUUUUCUAUUCGUUUACAAGUAUAUCAUCAGUCACUCCAAAAUCCUGGUAAAGCAACAAGCCUUGACGAUAACUCAGCCUUGCCAUCAGCUCCUAACAAAGAAGGUACGGUAUUCAGCAUUUGCAAAUUUGCAAAGCACACUGGAGUUAACACAUCCUGAUUUAUUCGUUUUGGCCAUUAGCAGUGAAACAAAAUAACAUGGAAAUGCUUUUGGUACCCUGCA
This 659-nucleotide long non-coding RNA is filed under the name Anas platyrhynchos platyrhynchos (common mallard). RNAcentral describes it as "lncRNA (ENSAPLG00000024761.1)". The record is from RNAcentral. Lineage: Eukaryota; Metazoa; Chordata; Aves; Anseriformes; Anatidae.